Molecule: long non-coding RNA, 556 nt
Organism: Xyrauchen texanus (razorback sucker)
Lineage: Eukaryota; Metazoa; Chordata; Actinopteri; Cypriniformes; Catostomidae
Exons: 4
Source: RefSeq, a predicted model, not a curated record
GCCUCACCUCGUUAUUUUCGUUGGGCUUCACAGUGAUGCUGCCCAGGAUUUCCUCUCCUUUCCGCACAGUUAGGUAAUCCUCCAGAUAAAACACUGUCUGCUUCCAGUGAGUACUUUGAGCAUCAGGAGCUUGAAGGGAAUAUUAUCAGGCAGAAGGCCGAGGUGAACGUCAGGUCUUCGGUCUUUACCGUGUAGAUGUCCACCUCCUUAAAGGGAUACGUCACAUCCAGAGCACUUAGGCUUCUCACUCGCCUGCUGCUUUCCAGUGUUAAUGAGAGCUGCUAUGGGUAUUGGGCAGCUAAACAACUUCUGCCAUCACACUAUAGGAAAUUUGUUCAAAUCUUUGGACCUGUGAAUGCUUUCUGCCUACAUGUAUCAGAUUGCAACAGAAAUAGAGUCCUCUUUUGAUUAUUAUGGCUACACUAGUACUUGAUCCAUUGUGGGUGGAUCAAUGGAGUCUUAACUAACUACAGAUCAGAAGAACAAGAACUAUACUGAUAUAAUCAGCAAUCUCUCUCUUCCAAUAUGCAUAUGUGCACUUUGUUUGUGCAUAUUU